CAAUAGCGUAUAUUAAAGUUGUUGCAGUUAAAAGCUCGUAGUUGGAUUUCGGGAUGGGCCAGUCGGUCUGCCGUGAGGUAAGUUACUGGCUGGUCUGUUCUUCCUCGCAAAGAAUGCGUGUGCUCUUCACUGAGUGGGCGUAGGAUUUGCGACGUUUACUUUGAAAAAAUUAGAGUGUUCAAAGCAGGCUUACCGCUUGAAUACAUGAGCAUGGAAUAAUGGAAUAGGACUUUGGUCUUAUUUUGUUGGUUUCUAAGACUGAGGUAAUGAUUAAGAGGGACAGUUGGGGGCAUUCGUAUUUCGUUGUCAGAGGUGAAAUUCUUGGAUUUACGAAAGACGAACAACUGCGAAAGCAUUUGCCAAGAAUGUUUUCAUUAAUCAAGAACGAAAGUUAGAGGCUCGAAGACGAUUAGAUACCA
RNAcentral lists this ribosomal RNA (419 nucleotides) under uncultured eukaryote. RNAcentral describes it as "SSU rRNA". It matches the Rfam family "Eukaryotic small subunit ribosomal RNA", at positions 592 to 1017 of the family's 1831-position model. The record is from RNAcentral.